AACCUGAAGGCAUCCUGAAACCUCAGGAGGAGCAGGCAGCCGAGCUGUCCAGGUCUGCAGUGGAACUGGGGAACCAGAUGUUGACACACAUAGGGAACACUUGCUGCAGUUGGAAGGUUAUCAUCUUCUCCCUCCGUCGCAGAAUCAGGGACCUGCUGUCUCGGGAUGGCCCUGGGAGUCGUGAGGGGCAGAGCCACCGAGACCAUGCUGAGGGGCACAAGCUGGCCGAGCCCCUCGCCCUCCAGCCCUGCCCAGAACCGGGCUCCUGGAGAACAGCAGCCUCGCCCAGCAUCCUCACAGGAAGGAGAGGUGGCAGCGGGAGGCAUGUGCGAUUCCUCACAGCCUCGGCUGAGGCUCGCGCCCAGGGGACCUGUCCCCAAGGGCUUCCCAGCCCAACCUUCGAGGUGCCCGAGGACCACUGUGUGGGAACACAGCCGGGUCAGUACCUUGACCGUGGAGCCGGCAGAGCCACCCUGAGCCUUUCUUCUGCCCCCUGGAGAUUCAUAGGCCACACUGAUGCCGGACAGCAGUGGCUCCACUCGACAGAGCACAUCUCAUGUCCACCGCGACUUCCUGAUCUUUGCCUUGUCUACCUGGUAGCUAGCGGUUGUUAGAAUUUUCCCAGAGUAAUUUUAAAUCGGGAAUACUUUGCUCCCCGCAACACCAUCUUAUCAUUCCUGCUCAU
RNAcentral lists this long non-coding RNA (685 nucleotides) under Fukomys damarensis (Damara mole-rat). Its description in RNAcentral is "lncRNA (ENSFDAG00000026134.1)". The record is from RNAcentral. Lineage: Eukaryota; Metazoa; Chordata; Mammalia; Rodentia; Bathyergidae.